GAUGAAGAACGUAGCGAAAUGCGAUAAGUAAUGCGAAUUGCAGAAUCCAUGAGUCAUCGAAUCUUUGAACGCACAUUGCGCCCCUUGGUUAUUCCGAAGGGCAUGCCUGUUCGAGCGUCAUUAUCACCCCUCAAGCCCUGGCUUGGUGUUGGACUUUAGUUAUAGCUUUGCCUAUCAACUGGUCUCAAAGAUAGUGACGGCGCCCCAGAGGGAACCGGGUACGAGGAGCUUUUUACUAAGCAUGUAUCUGGGACGACUCUGGGCGACGGUCUUGUUAUACUUUUUACCUAAGUGUUGACCUCGGAUCAGGUAGGAAUACCCGCUGAACUUAAGCAUAUCAAUAAGCGGAGGA
Molecule: unclassified non-coding RNA, 352 nt
Filed under: soil metagenome
Description: partial contains 5.8S ribosomal RNA, internal transcribed spacer 2, and large subunit ribosomal RNA
Rfam family: 5.8S ribosomal RNA (bases 1-120)
Source: RNAcentral